RNAcentral lists this ribosomal RNA (496 nucleotides) under uncultured bacterium. RNAcentral describes it as "partial 16S ribosomal RNA". It matches the Rfam family "Bacterial small subunit ribosomal RNA", at positions 28 to 506 of the family's 1533-position model. The record is from RNAcentral.
GAUGAACGCUGGCGGCGUGCCUAAUACAUGCAAGUCGAGCGAACAGACGAGGAGCUUGCUCCUCUGACGUUAGCGGCGGACGGGUGAGUAACACGUGGAUAACCUACCUAUAAGACUGGGAUAACUUCGGGAAACCGGAGCUAAUACCGGAUAAUAUAUUGAACCGCAUGGUUCAAUAGUGAAAGACGGUUUUGCUGUCACUUAUAGAUGGAUCCGCGCCGCAUUAGCUAGUUGGUAAGGUAACGGCUUACCAAGGCAACGAUGCGUAGCCGACCUGAGAGGGUGAUCGGCCCCCCUGGACCUGAGAACCGGUCCAGACCCCUACGGGAGGCAGCAGUAGGGAAUCUUCCGCAAUGGGCGAAAGCUUGCCGGAGCAACGCCGCGUGAGUGAUGAAGGUCUUCGGAUCGUAAAACUCUGUUAUUAGGGAAGAACAAAUGUGUAAGUAACUAUGCACGUCUUGACGGUACCUAAGCAGAAAGCCACGGCUAACUACGU